UGGCGCAAGUGAAUGGGGAGUCCCUCGG
RNAcentral lists this small RNA (28 nucleotides) under Bombyx mori (domestic silkworm). Its description in RNAcentral is "ovarian small RNA-34875". Lineage: Eukaryota; Metazoa; Arthropoda; Insecta; Lepidoptera; Bombycidae. The record is from RNAcentral.